CCUACGGGUGGCUGCAGUGGGGAAUAUUGGACAAUGGGCGAAAGCCUGAUCCAGCCAUGCCGCGUGUGUGAAGAAGGCCUUCGGGUUGUAAAGCACUUUCAGUGGGGAAGAAAGCCUUGGGGCUAAUACCCUCGAGGAAGGACAUCACCCACAGAAGAAGCACCGGCUAACUCCGUGCCAGCAGCCGCGGUAAUACGGAGGGUGCGAGCGUUAAUCGGAAUUACUGGGCGUAAAGCGCGCGUAGGCGGUCUGAUAAGCCGGUUGUGAAAGCCCCGGGCUCAACCUGGGAACGGCAUCCGGAACUGUCAGGCUAGAGUGCAGGAGAGGAAGGUAGAAUUCCCGGUGUAGCGGUGAAAUGCGUAGAGAUCGGGAGGAAUAGCAGUGGCGAAGGCGGCCUUCUGGACUGACACUGACGCUGAGGUGCGAAAGCGUGGGUAGCAAACAGGAUUAGAUACCCCAGUAGUC
This 465-nucleotide ribosomal RNA is filed under the name Vreelandella stevensii. RNAcentral describes it as "partial 16S ribosomal RNA". It matches the Rfam family "Bacterial small subunit ribosomal RNA", at positions 338 to 795 of the family's 1533-position model. The record is from RNAcentral. Lineage: Bacteria; Pseudomonadati; Pseudomonadota; Gammaproteobacteria; Oceanospirillales; Halomonadaceae.